CCUACGGGUGGCAGCAGUGAGGAAUAUUGGUCAAUGGACGAGAGUCUGAACCAGCCAAGUAGCGUGAAGGAUGACUGCCCUAUGGGUUGUAAACUGCUUUUAUACGGGAAUAACACGUCUCACGUGUGGGGCUUUGCAUGUACCGUAUGAAUAAGGACCGGCUAAUUCCGUGCCAGCAGCCGCGGUAAUACGGAGGGUCCGGGCGUUAUCCGGAUUUAUUGGGUUUAAAGGGAGCGUAGGUGGAUUGUCAAGUCAGUUGUGAAAUUUUGGGGCUCAACCGGAAAAUUGCAGUUGAAACUGGCAGUCUUGAGUACAGUAGAGGUGGGCGGAAUUCGUGGUGUAGCGGUGAAAUGCUUAGAUAUGACGAAGAACCCCGAUUGCGAAGGCAGCUUACUGGAGUGCAACUGACGCUGAUGCUCGAAAGUGUGGGUAUCAAACAGGAUUAGAUACCCUUGUAGUC
RNAcentral lists this ribosomal RNA (460 nucleotides) under uncultured bacterium. RNAcentral's name for it is "partial 16S ribosomal RNA". It matches the Rfam family "Bacterial small subunit ribosomal RNA", at positions 338 to 795 of the family's 1533-position model. The record is from RNAcentral.